GGGAGUGUAGCUCAGCGGUUAGAGCAGGAGGCUCAUAAUCUCUUGGUCGUGGGUUCGAUUCCCACCACUCCCACCA
RNAcentral lists this transfer RNA (76 nucleotides) under Armatimonadota bacterium. RNAcentral's name for it is "Armatimonadetes bacterium (bioreactor metagenome) tRNA-Ile". It matches the Rfam family "tRNA". Rfam says of the family: Transfer RNA (tRNA) molecules are approximately 80 nucleotides in length. RNAcentral also lists the same sequence under 1 other name. Lineage: Bacteria; Bacillati; Armatimonadota. The record is from RNAcentral.